UGCAGUCGACGAGAAUCUACUGAAAGAGUUUUCGGACAAUGGAUGUAGAGGAAAGUGGCGGACGGGUGAGUAACGCGUGAGGAACCUGCCUUGAAGAGGGGGACAACAGUUGGAAACGACUGCUAAUACCGCAUGACGCAUAGAGGUCGCAUGAUCUUUAUGCCAAAGAUUUAUCGCUUCAAGAUGGCCUCGCGUCUGAUUAGCUGGUUGGCGGGGUAACGGCCCACCAAGGCGACGAUCAGUAGCCGGACUGAGAGGUUGAACGGCCACAUUGGGACUGAGAUACGGCCCAGACUCCUACGGGAGGCAGCAGUGGGGAAUAUUGGGCAAUGGACGCAAGCCUGACCCAGCAACGCCGCGUGAAGGAAGAAGGCUUUCGGGUUGUAAACUUCUUUUAAGAGGGAAGAGCAGAAGACGGUACCUCUAGAAUAAGCCACGGCUAACUACGUGCCAGCAGCCGCGGUAAUACGUAGGUGGCAAGCGUUGUCCGGAUUUACUGGGUGUAAAGGGCGUGCAGCCGGGUCUGCAAGUCAGAUGUGAAAUCCAUGGGCUCAACCCAUGAACUGCAUUUGAAACUGUAGAUCUUGAGUGUCG
Molecule: ribosomal RNA, 594 nt
Filed under: uncultured bacterium
Lineage: Bacteria
Description: bacterial SSU rRNA
Rfam family: Bacterial small subunit ribosomal RNA
Source: RNAcentral